GGAGUGGAGCCAUGGCUGAGUGGUGAAGCAUCUGCUUGCCAUGCAAAAGGUCUCAGGUUCUAUCCCUGGCAUCUCUCUU
RNAcentral lists this transfer RNA (79 nucleotides) under Sphaerodactylus townsendi. Its description in RNAcentral is "tRNA-Gly". It matches the Rfam family "tRNA". Rfam says of the family: Transfer RNA (tRNA) molecules are approximately 80 nucleotides in length. Lineage: Eukaryota; Metazoa; Chordata; Lepidosauria; Squamata; Sphaerodactylidae. The record is from RNAcentral.